GCGUCCAGCCCCAGCCUCCCCCACCGGCCUGCCACGGUGACCACACUCAGCUCCCUGCAUUCCUUCUCUUGAAAGGCAUUUCUUCAUCGAGUGCCAACCCUGGCUCCUGUGCGGACACGGCGGCCGGCGAGACAGUGAAGCUGGCCGAGAGUCUGGUGGGACGACCCUGGGGGUUGUUGCCUGCCGCGGGCACAGCUCCAGAGUCCUGACCUAUGUCUGAGGGGCAGACGACAUCCCAAUUGGACAUGAAAGUUCAGCCUCAGGCUGAGGACGGGGUGGAGCUAACACCCUCCAGGGCCGACCCCGAGACUCAGCCCUGAGAUGCUCUCAACACCCUGGAUACCCCAGAGCCGCAGAUUGCAUGGCUCGGGCUCCUGAGGCCACCCUGCUCCCCAGAAGAACCUGGUCGUCUUCCCCGUGCCCUGCAGCAGGAACACACGCUCGUCUAGAAGAGGAGGGAAGGCUCAGCGUGCGGCCGCCUGGCGGGAAUCAGCACAGACCUGCCAAGCACCCACAAAGCACUGACCUUUCCUUUAACCUCCCGCGUGCCUGGGCGCGUCCUGCUAAAACGAAAUGACGUGUGGCAGACCAGUGGGGAAGGGCAGAUGUGAACCCGGGACAGUGAACCACCAGCAUGUCCAGCUGCGGGGCUGGGACCACUUCAGGACGUGAUCAGAUCAAGGGCAGGCAGGAGGGCCGGCCCCGCAGCCACAGUCUGACCACAGAGCGACACCGUGAGCUGGAGUGACCACUGGGGAGGGACGGAGCCUGGAACCAUCAGGGCGCGCCUGGCUUCCCCCAACCCUGUGUGGGCAGCUGCUGGUGUUCUGCCAGCCCCCACCCGGGCUCCCCCGGGCUCUACCCAUCACCCCGACAGAUGGACUGAGUCAGGGGACUCCCAGUGAGAGUCAGCACCCUGCUGCUGGCAGGUCACACACCUCAUCCAUCACACGGGACCGCUGGCAGGGUCUCAGGAACCCCGACACCUUCUGAGGCCUCUCGCGAGUGAACGCCCUUUGACCAGGCCUUGCGGUGGUUCGGGGAAGAGACGUCCAUGAGGCAAGUGUAUCCUGUGAGCCUGGCCCAUCACCCGACCUCCAGGCUUCACAAAACUUCAGAUCUGAGCAACACGCAGUUGUGACCCUGCGGCUCCAGAGCUCCCUCUCCAAGUGACUUCUCCGGGUCCCGCAGAGCAGGCCCAGCAGAUCCCAGGCCGACCUGCUAGGACCCCGGCCUCCCACCCACAGCAGGGUUUUCCUGUGGUCCUAAGCGGCCCUCCUUCCAGCACGGCAGGGAGACCUGGGCCUGCAGGGACUUGCCGGGAGAACCCGGGGCCACCAGGGCCGUCCUGCGAUGGACAUAGCCUCAGGCCUGGCUCCAGCUUCUAGAAGAGUUCUGCCUCUCGCCACCCACCGUGGCCUGGAAGGCACAUUCCGAGGCGUCGCUUGCUCUGCACAUCAUAACCCUGCUCUGUCUGGUGGCCCGAGGAGGGUGUCACAGACCAGGGGCUGGUUUAGAGCUCCCGGGGGCCCAGUCCACCACCCACGGCGUGUGGCGAGGAGGCUCAGAGGGCUGCGCAGUGUCCUCCAUUCUGGGGGUCUGUCCUUGGGGCUCAGCGGCACCCCAGGCCGUGAGAGCAGAGGCGCUGUCCCCAGCCGUCCCCCGGUGCCGGAAGCUGGGCCCUCAACAGGCUCCUUGGACUCUGAGGGGCUCAGGCUCCCAGAGGCCGCCCUGCCCAGCUGCCCCGAACGGAAGUGUGCAGUGUGUGGGCGUUGGAACAUUCCACCCACCGUGCCUGCUGCCACCCACCCCGGGGACUGGGAAGUGAAAUUGCUUGGUCUGUGCCGGGCAUGGCAGGUGAGGGCCGUGUGGGCACACCAGGCAAAUUUCUCAAGGGUGGCAUGGGAACCCAUCUUCUUCCAGGUGGUGAUGUCCAAGGUGGUGGCGGUGUCCAGGCACCUGGGGUGGGUGCUGAGUGUCCACAGCAGAGGAGAGAUGGGCUAGAUCCCAGGGGGUGAGGGAGACCACCACCCUGUCCACAGGCUGCCUGCCCACAGGGAGGAAGCGACUCUGCGGCCAAUCAGAGGGAGCGUUGGGCCGGCCCAAGGGAUGGGUUUCCACGUGGGCUUCCGCGUCUCUCCUCCCCCGAGGCCUCUUGGGGACAUGGCUGCUCUAGGUGGGGUCUGGUGACCAGGGCCCCUGUUCUCAGCCCUCAGAGAGUCUUCCCUCAGCACCCUGAGAGGCAGCUGUCCUUUUUACUAACCCCUCCCCUUUUCAGGAGAGGAAACUGAGGCCCAGAGGCAGGGCCAGCUGUGUCAUCUGUAGGGCCCAUAGAAAAUGAAAAUGUGCGGGCACGUGGUGGAGCGUCUGUCAUCCCAGCACCUCGGGAGGCCGA
Cercocebus atys (sooty mangabey) is the source of this 2395-nucleotide long non-coding RNA. RefSeq lists it as uncharacterized. The record is from RefSeq and is a predicted model, not a curated record. The transcript is spliced from 3 exons. Lineage: Eukaryota; Metazoa; Chordata; Mammalia; Primates; Cercopithecidae.